GUGAGUCAUCGAAUCUUUGAACGCACCUUGCACCCUUUGGUAUUCCGAAGGGUACACCCGUUUGAGUGUCAUUUGCAAUCUCACCUCUUUAACUUUCAACGGUUGAUCAGUGUGGAUUUGGAUGUUGCCAUGUGACAAGUGGCUCGUCUGAAAAGCCUGAGUGUACCCUGUUUCUGUGGUGUAUUCGGUGUAAUAAACCUUCACCGGAGCUGAUUUUCGAAUCGCACCUAUGUAACAGGCCCUAUGCUUCCAAUCGUCUCCACAAGACAAUAAUCUGACAAUUUGACCUCAAAUCGGGUGGGACUACCCGCUGAACUUAAGCAUAUCAAUAAGCGGAGGA
RNAcentral lists this unclassified non-coding RNA (340 nucleotides) under Serendipita sp. RNAcentral's name for it is "partial contains 5.8S ribosomal RNA, internal transcribed spacer 2, and large subunit ribosomal RNA". The stretch from base 1 to 71 matches the Rfam family "5.8S ribosomal RNA", at positions 84 to 154 of the family's 154-position model. The record is from RNAcentral. Lineage: Eukaryota; Fungi; Basidiomycota; Agaricomycetes; Sebacinales; Serendipitaceae.